UCAAAGGCCACCGAUAACCGAUAUCGGAAAGUGGGUAGUCCGAUGUGUAAACAGGUCGAUUACUCUCAAAUUGAAUUUAGUUGGGUUUAUACAGCGUCUAUUCACAUGAACUGUUUAAUGUUAUAUUUUUGGAUUUUACUAUUUAAAUAGAUCAACAAAUUCAUUUCAGAAACCAUUGGAAGUUUUGUUGUUCACCUGUCACUGAUAUCAAUCAGAAAAUUGGAGAUCGAAUAGAAGUUGACGAUUAUUGAUAUACGUACUACAAAUGUGAAGUCUCUCAACCUACUACUUCGAAUAAGAUGCGACAGAGGCACACCACUCAACAAGCAACAUAGCUGAUACAAGCCAUUCUAAGUUCUCCAGAAGCUCAACUUACACCUACAACGGUGGAAUAGAGAAAAGAACAUCACUAGUUGAUACGCAACACAUUCGAAAAGAAAUAGUGCCCAUGGGAUAUUAAGUCGUGAACUGCAGAUCACAAAAUGAGAUGAUUUCCAAAUCAAACAUGACUUGUUGACUAAAACUUAUAUUGGUAAAACAACAAUGGGUUCAUGGAACGUUAACAUUUACAUUUUGUCAAGUCAAACUGGUCAGUAGCAAAACUGCUUUUAAGAGUAUUGGAUAUUUCACAGCUGUUCUCGCGUUGCAUCUAUAUCGAAAUCGAUACAUCUAUGGACCAUUGAAAUAUGAAGCCGCAGCUUUCAAUCUUUUAUUAGAGGCCUUCAGAUCAACCUUCAUGUCAUUCUAAAUGAAAUUAUUAUCGUUCAGCACAUGCAUUCAUUGAAAGUUACGAUCGAGCACCACGAAUUUGAAGUAUGGACUGCGGGUCAAAAAUACUGGACUAAUCAAAAUAGGUUUGUGAGAGGCGAAAUGUUGAUUGAAUUUUAUCAAAUAAUUUCGAAUUGGGUGUAACGGCUACGUUCAAUGAUAACUAGUGAAGUUGUUUACGCACGCAGGAAUGGUUGUUAUCAAAGCGAUUUGUGGAUUUUAAACUCAAUCUGAAAGAUAACGGCAAUAAGGAAACGUGUAUUUACAUAAAAAUAAUGACAUUAUCCUCAUCGCUCAAUGUUCUGAAUGUUGAUAAAAUGAGUGUUUUUCAUAA
Molecule: long non-coding RNA, 1102 nt
Organism: Dreissena polymorpha
Lineage: Eukaryota; Metazoa; Mollusca; Bivalvia; Myida; Dreissenidae
Exons: 2
Source: RefSeq, a predicted model, not a curated record